UCCCUGGUGGCUCAGAUGGUAAAGCAUCUGCCUGCAAUACAGAAGACCAGGGUUCAAUCCCUGGGUUGGGAA
This 72-nucleotide transfer RNA is filed under the name Ovis aries (sheep). It matches the Rfam family "tRNA". From Rfam's summary of the family: Transfer RNA (tRNA) molecules are approximately 80 nucleotides in length. Their secondary structure includes four short double-helical elements and three loops (D, anti-codon, and T loops). Lineage: Eukaryota; Metazoa; Chordata; Mammalia; Artiodactyla; Bovidae. The record is from Rfam by way of RNAcentral.